This 253-nucleotide ribosomal RNA is filed under the name uncultured bacterium. RNAcentral describes it as "partial 16S ribosomal RNA". It matches the Rfam family "Bacterial small subunit ribosomal RNA", at positions 524 to 776 of the family's 1533-position model. RNAcentral also lists the same sequence under 1 other name. The record is from RNAcentral.
UACAGAGGGUGCAAGCGUUGUUCGGAAUUACUGGGCGUAAAGCGCGUGUAGGCGGCUUAUUAAGUCGGACGUGAAAUCCCUUGGCUCAACCAAGGAACUGCGUCCGAUACUGUUAGGCUUGAGUGUCGGAGGGGGUGGCGGAAUUCCUGGUGUAGAGGUGAAAUUCGUAGAUAUCAGGAGGAACACCUGUGGCGAAGGCGGCCACCUGGAAGACAACUGACGCUGAGACGCGAAAGCGUGGGGAGCAAACAGG